AACUCGGAUUGGGAGCUUCCUCCCUGCCGUCAGCGGCGGACGGGUGAGUAACACGUGGGCAACCUGCCUGUAAGACUGGGAUAACUCCGGGAAACCGGGGCUAAUACCGGAUAACUCUUUUCCUCACAUGAGGAAAAGCUGAAAGAUGGUUUCGGCUAUCACUUACAGAUGGGCCCGCGGCGCAUUAGCUAGUUGGUGAGGUAACGGCUCACCAAGGCCACGAUGCGUAGCCGACCUGAGAGGGUGAUCGGCCACACUGGGACUGAGACACGGCCCAGACUCCUACGGGAGGCAGCAGUAGGGAAUCUUCCGCAAUGGACGAAAGUCUGACGGAGCAACGCCGCGUGAGUGAUGAAGGUUUUCGGAUCGUAAAACUCUGUUGUCAGGGAAGAACAAGUACCGGAGUAACUGCCGGUACCUUGACGGUACCUGACCAGAAAGCCACGGCUAACUACGUGCCAGCAGCCGCGGUAAUACGUAGGUGGCAAGCGUUGUCCGGAAUUAUUGGGCGUAAAGCGCGCGCAGGCGGUUCCUUAAGUCUGAUGUGAAAGCCCCCGGCUCAACCGGGGAGGGUCAUUGGAAACUGGGGAACUUGAGUGCAGAAGAGAAGAGUGGAAUUCCACGUGUAGCGGUGAAAUGCGUAGAGAUGUGGAGGAACACCAGUGGCGAAGGCGACUCUUUGGUCUGUAACUGACGCUGAGGCGCGAAAGCGUGGGGGAGCAAACAGGAUUAGAUACCCUGGUAGUCCACGCCGUAAACGAUGAGUGCUAAGUGUUAGAGGGUUUCCGCCCUUUAGUGCUGCAGCAAACGCAUUAAGCACUCCGCCUGGGGGAGUACGGGCGCAAGGCUGAAACUCAAAGGAAUUGACGGGGGGCCCGCACAAGCGGUGGAGCAUGUGGUUUAUUCUAAGCAACGCGAGAACAUACCAGGUCUUGACAUCUCUGACAACCUAGAGAUAGGGCGUUCUCCUUCCUGGGGACAGGAUGACAGAGGUGGCAUGGUUUCGUCAGCUCGGGUCGUGGAAAUGUGGUUAAAGUCCGCAACGAACGCACCAUCGAUCUAGGUGCAGCAUCAGUGGCAGCUAGGUACUGCGGACGACGAGUACGUGGAUGAGCUCAUCUCUAUGCCUUAUGACCUUGGGCUACAACG
This 1149-nucleotide ribosomal RNA is filed under the name Bacillus sp. (in: firmicutes). RNAcentral's name for it is "bacterial SSU rRNA". It matches the Rfam family "Bacterial small subunit ribosomal RNA", at positions 65 to 1222 of the family's 1533-position model. Lineage: Bacteria; Bacillati; Bacillota; Bacilli; Caryophanales; Bacillaceae. The record is from RNAcentral.